UGGCGGACGGGUGAGUAAUGUCUGGGAAACUGCCCGAUGGAGGGGGAUAACUACUGGAAACGGUAGCUAAUACCGCAUAACGUCGCAAGACCAAAGAGGGGGACCUUAGGGCCUCUUGCCAUCGGAUGUGCCCAGAUGGGAUUAGCUAGUAGGUGGGGUAACGGCUCACCUAGGCGACGAUCCCUAGCUGGUCUGAGAGGAUGACCAGCCACACUGGAACUGAGACACGGUCUAG
RNAcentral lists this ribosomal RNA (235 nucleotides) under uncultured bacterium. RNAcentral describes it as "partial 16S ribosomal RNA". It matches the Rfam family "Bacterial small subunit ribosomal RNA", at positions 96 to 334 of the family's 1533-position model. The record is from RNAcentral.